GAUGAAGAACGUAGCGAAAUGCGAUAAGUAAUGUGAAUUGCAGAAUUCAGUGAAUCAUCGAAUCUUUGAACGCACAUUGCGCCCGCCAGCAUUCUGGCGAGCAUGCCUGUUCGAGCGUCAUUUCAACCAUCAAGCCCCAGGCUUGUGUUGGAGCCCUGCGGCUGCCGCAGCCUCCCAAAACCAGUAGCGGGCUCGCUAUCACACCGAGUGCAGUAGUUUACUCUUCGCUCAGGGCGUGUGGCGGGUGCUAGCCGUGAAACCCCCAACUUCUCAAGGUUGACCUCGGAUCAGGUAGGAAUACCCGCUGAACUUAAGCAUAUCAAUAAGCGGAGGA
RNAcentral lists this unclassified non-coding RNA (334 nucleotides) under soil metagenome. RNAcentral's name for it is "partial contains 5.8S ribosomal RNA, internal transcribed spacer 2, and large subunit ribosomal RNA". The stretch from base 1 to 120 matches the Rfam family "5.8S ribosomal RNA", at positions 35 to 154 of the family's 154-position model. The record is from RNAcentral.